RNAcentral lists this ribosomal RNA (157 nucleotides) under Fidelibacterota bacterium. RNAcentral's name for it is "partial 23S ribosomal RNA". It matches the Rfam family "Bacterial large subunit ribosomal RNA", at positions 2774 to 2925 of the family's 2925-position model. The record is from RNAcentral. Lineage: Bacteria; Pseudomonadati; Fidelibacterota.
AAAGCAUAUAAGUGCGAAACCUGUCCUAAGAUUAGUUCUCCCUAUCAUAUUGAUAAUAAGGCUCGUUGUAGACUACGACGUUGAUAGGCCACAAGUGUAAGUGCAGCAAUGCAUUCAGCUGAGUGGUACUAAUUAGCCGAAUGGCUUUAUCAAUCUU